UAUUCUGCCCCACGGGGAAGGAUGAGAAGCUUCGACUAAGGUUCGACUCGAGCGAAGUGAGAGAACGUUGCCGCAGGCAACGGCCCGAAGGCGAGGCGCUUUAGCGCCGAGUAAUCCUUCCCCCACCACCA
RNAcentral lists this small RNA (131 nucleotides) under Klebsiella pneumoniae. Its description in RNAcentral is "RtT sRNA". It matches the Rfam family "RtT RNA". From Rfam's summary of the family: This family represents a bacterial cis-regulatory element known as RtT RNA. The exact function of RtT is unknown although it is thought that it may be involved in changing the cellular response in relation to amino acid starvation. The record is from RNAcentral. Lineage: Bacteria; Pseudomonadati; Pseudomonadota; Gammaproteobacteria; Enterobacterales; Enterobacteriaceae.